CAGUAGCCGCGGGAAUACAGAGGGUGCAAGCGUUAAUCGGAAUUACUGGGCGUAAAGCGCGCGUAGGUGGUUUGUUAAGUUGGAUGUGAAAUCCCCGGGCUCAACCUGGGAACUGCAUUCAAAACUGACUGACUAGAGUAUGGUAGAGGGUGGUGGAAUUUCCUGUGUAGCGGUGAAAUGCGUAGAUAUAGGAAGGAACACCAGUGGCGAAGGCGACCACCUGGACUAAUACUGACACUGAGGUGCGAAAGCGUGGGGAGCAAACAGGAUUAGAUACCCCAGUAGUCCCUGUCUCUUAUAC
This 301-nucleotide ribosomal RNA is filed under the name uncultured bacterium. Its description in RNAcentral is "partial 16S ribosomal RNA". It matches the Rfam family "Bacterial small subunit ribosomal RNA", at positions 509 to 807 of the family's 1533-position model. The record is from RNAcentral.